GGACCCUAAGAAAAGAAAGAUUUCAUCAUUUGGGAAAGAAAAGUUGGGAAAAGAGAAGAGAAAAGAAAUUAAAAGAUUGUGAUUCCUGUGUCACUGUUUCUAGAGUCGAUGUACCAUUGCCUGUUGUGCAUUUUGAAGAAUUGGUUAAUAGGACUAAAAGCAAAUCAUUGUACACUUUUUCUAGCUACAAAAACUGUUGCAGAACAAGUUAUGUGUGUACUACUAUGAAGCUGUAGUUUACAGCAAUGGAGCAUAUAUACCGGUUAAGGAAAGGGAAAACACUCACCAUCUCAGUCUAUUUGUGCUUUAUAAAGUAAGAGUCUCCUUUUUUAUUGCAAAACAAACUUUCUCUCUUCAGUUAACUUUUCCAUUAUGAGAAAUGGAGGCCUUGUCACUAUUUUCAUGUAUGUUUACUAGAGGGACAGAGCAGUUUUCUGAAAAGUUUGUAAAUGUGUGACUAUAAUUACACUCACAGUUUACAUGUAUUAUCAUGCCAUCCUUCUUGUUGUUAUAUUCUUCAGGUGGUAUCGUUUGCCGGAUACAUUUGGUAGCUCAUACUAUAAGGAUACUUUGUCCUAGUGGGUGUGGAAGUGAAAUUAGUUUUGAGGGUUCUAUAUGCUUUAUUUAGUGUAACAACUCAAGAUCUUUGAAUAUACUCAACCUAGACAUAGUAAGGAAGUGCCUCUGUGAACGAUGGAGCAAGGGAAUAACUUCAUUGGAAUGUAUAAUUGUUAGACUUGAUCACAG
This is a long non-coding RNA of Amphimedon queenslandica, 747 nucleotides long. RefSeq lists it as uncharacterized. Lineage: Eukaryota; Metazoa; Porifera; Demospongiae; Haplosclerida; Niphatidae. The record is from RefSeq and is a predicted model, not a curated record. The transcript has 5 exons.